This 73-nucleotide transfer RNA is filed under the name Anaerolineaceae bacterium. Its description in RNAcentral is "tRNA-Glu". It matches the Rfam family "tRNA". Rfam says of the family: Transfer RNA (tRNA) molecules are approximately 80 nucleotides in length. Their secondary structure includes four short double-helical elements and three loops (D, anti-codon, and T loops). RNAcentral also lists the same sequence under 1 other name. The record is from RNAcentral. Lineage: Bacteria; Bacillati; Chloroflexota; Anaerolineae; Anaerolineales; Anaerolineaceae.
GCCCCCAUCGUCUAGUGGACCAGGACGUGGCCCUCUCAAGGCCAAGACCGGGGUUCGAACCCCCGUGGGGGCA